AGAGGKGGCAAGCGUUGUCCGGAAUUACUGGGCGUACAGCGCGCGCAGGCGGACCGCCACGUGCCGUGUGACAAGCCACUGCUCAACAGUGGAGGGCCAGGGUACACGAGCGGUCUGGAGGCAGGGAGAGGGAUGUGGAAUGCCCGGUGGAGCGGUGAAAUGCGUAGAGAUCGGGCGGAACACCAGCGGCGAAGGCGGCAUCCUGGUCCUGUUCUGACGCUGAGGCGCGAGAGCGUGGGGAGCGAACUGGAUUAGAUACCCAGGUAGUCCACGCCGUAAACGACGUGUACCCGGCGCUGGGGAGUGAUUGCGCUCCUCGGUGCCUCAGCUUACGCAGUGAGUACACCGCCUGGGGACUACGGCCGCAAGGCUA
RNAcentral lists this ribosomal RNA (373 nucleotides) under uncultured bacterium. RNAcentral describes it as "bacterial SSU rRNA". It matches the Rfam family "Bacterial small subunit ribosomal RNA", at positions 527 to 896 of the family's 1533-position model. The record is from RNAcentral.